GGAGGAAAAGAAAAUAACCAUGAUUCCCUCAGUAACGGCGAGUGAAGCGGGAAAAGCUCAAAUUUGAAAUCUGUCAACAUUUCUUUUGUUGUCCGAGUUGUAAUUUCAAGAAGCUGCUUUGAGUGUAGACGAUCGGUCUAAGUUCCUUGGAACAGGACGUCAGAGAGGGUGAGAACCCCGUCUUUGGUCGAUUGGAUAUGCCAUAUAAAGCGCUUUCGAAGAGUCGAGUUGUUUGGGAAUGCAGCUCUAAAUGGGUGGUAAAUUUCAUCUAAAGCUAAAUAUUGGCGAGAGACCGAUAGCGAACAAGUAGAGUGAUCGAAAGAUGAAAAGAACUUUGAAAAGAGAGUUAAAUAGUACGUGAAAUUGCUGAAAGGGAAGCAUUGGAAAUCAGUCUUACCUGGGUGAGAUCAGUAGUCUCUUCGCGAGACUAUGCACUCUGAACCUGUGGUAGGUCAGCAUCAGUUUUCGGGGGCGGAAAAAGAAUAAGGGAAGGUGGCUUUCCGGGUUCUGCCUGGGGGAGUGUUUAUAGCCCUUGUUGUAAUACGUCCACUGGGGACUGAGGACUGCGGCUUCGUGCCAAGGAUGCUGACAUAAUGGUUUUCAAUGGCCC
RNAcentral lists this ribosomal RNA (610 nucleotides) under Schizosaccharomyces pombe (fission yeast). RNAcentral describes it as "eukaryotic LSU rRNA". It matches the Rfam family "Eukaryotic large subunit ribosomal RNA", at positions 52 to 650 of the family's 3401-position model. The record is from RNAcentral. Lineage: Eukaryota; Fungi; Ascomycota; Schizosaccharomycetes; Schizosaccharomycetales; Schizosaccharomycetaceae.